ACAGUGUUGCAAUAGAAAUUCCACCUAGUACGAGAGGAACCGUUGAUUCACACAAUUGGCCAUCGCGCUUGGCUGAAAAGCUAGUGGCGCAAAGAUACCAUGUGCUGGAUUAUGACUGAACACUUCUAAGUCAUAAUCCAGGCUAGAAACGACGCAUGCGCCCGCCGUCCGCUUGCUGACCCGUAAUAGGGGCCUAUUGUCCCCAAGGGCACGUGUUGUUGGCUAAGUCGCCGCGACACAAGCGUCACAGUGACCGCCUUGAAGAACAAUUUCAGUCGAGCGGCGGGUAGAAUCCUUUGCAGACGACUUAAAUACGCGACGGGGUAUAGUAAGUGGUAGAGUGGCCUUCCUGCCACGAUCCACUGAGAUUCAGUCCUUUGUCGCUCCGAUUC
RNAcentral lists this non-coding RNA (392 nucleotides) under Solanum lycopersicum (tomato). RNAcentral's name for it is "Eukaryotic large subunit ribosomal RNA". It matches the Rfam family "Eukaryotic large subunit ribosomal RNA", at positions 3005 to 3399 of the family's 3401-position model. The record is from Rfam by way of RNAcentral. Lineage: Eukaryota; Viridiplantae; Streptophyta; Magnoliopsida; Solanales; Solanaceae.